GGAAGGACUGUAGCCCAUUAGUAGAACAUUUGCCUUAUAGGCACAAAGUCCCGGGUUCAAUUCCUGGCAUCUCCA
Non-coding RNA from Podarcis lilfordi (Lilford's wall lizard), 75 nucleotides. The record is from the annotation of a GenBank genome assembly. Lineage: Eukaryota; Metazoa; Chordata; Lepidosauria; Squamata; Lacertidae.